This 107-nucleotide ribosomal RNA is filed under the name Escherichia coli. RNAcentral's name for it is "partial 23S ribosomal RNA". It matches the Rfam family "Bacterial large subunit ribosomal RNA", at positions 1 to 106 of the family's 2925-position model. The record is from RNAcentral. Lineage: Bacteria; Pseudomonadati; Pseudomonadota; Gammaproteobacteria; Enterobacterales; Enterobacteriaceae.
GGUUAAGCGACUAAGCGUACACGGUGGAUGCCCAGGCAGUCAGAGGCGAUGAAGGACGUGCUAAUCUGCGAUAAGCGUCGGUAAGGUGAUAUGAACCGUUAUAACCG